Long non-coding RNA from Leptopilina heterotoma, 796 nucleotides. RefSeq lists it as uncharacterized. The record is from RefSeq and is a predicted model, not a curated record. Lineage: Eukaryota; Metazoa; Arthropoda; Insecta; Hymenoptera; Figitidae. The transcript is spliced from 3 exons.
AAAAUCAAAAUCAAUGUAGUCUGUCCGCUCGCUCGGUUUGCUCGGAUUGCCCACGCCCUAGUCCACGCUCAUACCUUCGAGCCCGAGCGGCACAAAUUUGCGCCUCCAGUCCGGUCACUGCCUCGUUCUUGUUUUUCUCUUUCCCUCUCUCGAUCUCCCUCAUUAUUAUAGGCCGCUUUCUGUCUUUAUUUUUCACCUGUGCUCGCAAACAAAAAAUCAACCGGUGAAUAAAAAUUAACAAUCGAAAAAAAAUGUGACCCAGUGGACUUUAUUUAUACCCAAAGAAAAUAAUAAUAAUAAACAAAAAUAAACAAAAAAAAAAAAAUUAUAAAAAAAACCACCCCCAAGAGAACGAAUUCGAGAGCAAAAGAAAGAGAAACAAAAAAAAUUAUUACUGCGAAGAAACAAUUGUUUAUCGUGAUGAAAUCAUUCUUCGUGCCAGUUCGACUCUCCCUUGAGAUUAACCUCUGCGUCGAGAGAGAGAGAUGAACGUCUAAAACACAAGCUGAAAGGACUAUGCACUUUUUCUAGAGGGAUGUCAACGUUGCCCUUUCGGCGUAAAAUGUAUGCAGCUGUUACAACUCAAAUGCACCUACACGAGUAUCAGACUUUAAAAUGUGGAAUUAUGGAGCUGCAAAAUUACUGAAAUCGAUGCUCCUGUCGACAAGAACAAACGUCGUGGGAUGUAGUUGACGUUGCUCUUUUUUUUUUUUUAAGAGCGAGAGAACGACAGUAAGGCAACUGGAGGGGUUUGUUGAGGCUGAGGCUGAGGCGGAGGAGGAAGACGAGGACGAGG